AACUCUCAAUCUUUAUUCUUGAUCAUCAAGGCUUUGAAUGUCUCGGAGCUUGAAUGAAGUUUGGAUCAAUGGAAGUUGCAGAAUUUCACUUUUGCUCUUCUCAAAUGCAUUAGCAAAAUAUCAUCAUUGAUCCUUUGAUAUGAUAAUCUAUCUAUAUCAUCUGGAACAAGCUUGAUGUUGCUUCCAAUUGUCAUCUCUUUGAAGAGAAAAUGAUAUGAUG
This 220-nucleotide unclassified non-coding RNA is filed under the name uncultured Basidiomycota. RNAcentral describes it as "sequence contains ITS2". The record is from RNAcentral. Lineage: Eukaryota; Fungi; Basidiomycota.